CGAACGCUGGCGGCGUGCUUAACACAUGCAAGUCGAACGGAAAGGCUUUCUUGCUUGCAGAGUACUCGAGUGGCGAACGGGUGAGUAACACGUGGGUGAUCUGCCCUGUACUUCGGGAUAAGCCUGGGAAACUGGGUCUAAUACCGGAUAGGACCACAUUUUAGUGUGUGUGGUGGAAAGUUUUUNCGGUUAGGGAUGAGCCCGCGGCCUAUCAGCUUGUUGGUGGGGUAAUGGCCUACCAAGGCNUCGACGGGUAGCCGGCCUGAGAGGGUGGACGGCCACAUUGGGACUGAGAUACGGCCCAGACUCCUACGGGAGGCAGCAGUGGGGAAUAUUGCACAAUGGGCGCAAGCCUGAUGCAGCGACGCCGCGUGAGGGAUGAAGGCCUUCGGGUUGUAAACCUCUUUCGCUAGGGACGAAGCUUUUUUGUGACGGUACCUAGAUAAGAAGCACCGGCUAACUACGUGCCAGCAGCCGCGGUAAUACGUAGGGUGCGAGCGUUGUCCGGAUUUACUGGGCGUAAAGAGCUCGUAGGUGGUUUGUCGCGUCGUCUGUGAAAUUCCGGGGCUUAACUUCGGGCGUGCAGGCGAUACGGGCAUAACUUGAGUACUGUAGGGGAGACUGGAAUUCCUGGUGUAGCGGUGGAAUGCGCAGAUAUCAGGAGGAACACCGAUGGCGAAGGCAGGUCUCUGGGCAGUAACUGACGCUGAGGAGCGAAAGCAUGGGGAGCGAACAGGAUUAGAUACCCUGGUAGUCCAUGCCGUAAACGGUGGGCGCUAGGUGUGAGCUCUUCCACGGGGUUCGUGCCGUAGCUAACGCAUUAAGCCCCCCGCCUGGGGAGUACGGCCGCAAGGCUAAAACUCAAAGGAAUUGACGGGGGCCCGCACAAGCGGCGGAGCAUGUGGAUUAAUUCGAUGCAACGCGAAGAACCUUACCUGGGCUUGACAUGUACAGGAUCGGGCUAGAGAUAGUUUUUCCUUUUUAGGUCUGUAUACAGGUGGUGCAUGGUUGUCGUCAGCUCGUGUCGUGAGAUGUUGGGUUAAGUCCCGCAACGAGCGCAACCCUUGUCUUAUGUUGCCAGCACAUUUUGGUGGGGACUCAUGAGAGACUGCCGGGGUUAACUCGGAGGAAGGUGGGGAUGACGUCAAAUCAUCAUGCCCCUUAUGUCCAGGGCUUCACACAUGCUACAAUGGUCGGUACAAGCGCUGCGAGCCUGUGAGGGUAACGGAAUCGCUGAAAGCCGGCCUCAGUUCGGAUUGGGGUCUGCAACUCGAGCCCAUGAAGUCGGAGUCGCUAGUAAUCGCAGAAUGCAACGCUGCGGUGAAUACGUUCCCGGGC
Molecule: ribosomal RNA, 1338 nt
Filed under: Corynebacterium kutscheri
Lineage: Bacteria; Bacillati; Actinomycetota; Actinomycetes; Mycobacteriales; Corynebacteriaceae
Description: 16S ribosomal RNA
Rfam family: Bacterial small subunit ribosomal RNA
Source: RNAcentral